ACAAACUGUAACUAUUCAAGCUGGUGAAGGGUUAGAAACGUCAGAGGAGGGUAAAGGUGGAUAAGGGGGUGAUAGAUCUCCAGCUAUUGAGAUUAAUGGGGGAGCACUGCAUAGCUAUGGGGAAAACAGGGAAGGCUAUCUUUGAGAAAAUCCAGCAUAACACACACACACACACACACACACACACCAGCAGAAGGUACAAGACUCCUCUAAAUCCAAAAACCACUUCUCGAUGCCUUCUAGUAGCACAAAUAAUCAUAGAAGUGAUCCACAAGACAGGAUUGAGCACGUCGUGGGAGGAGGGCUAUCUUUGCUCUGAAAGCCACAGUCCUCCUGCUCACCUUUCCAGUCACCUCUAGGAAUCCAUCUCUCUUGUCUGGCGUGCUUCCCCUCUAGGAUUCCGUGUCUCUCUGAUCUCUUUCCUGUCUCGGAUGCUCACGCUCUAGGUAUCUUCUCUCUCUCUUCAAGCCAACCAGAAUGUCUAAGAGAGUUCCUCUCUAGGAAUCCGUCUCACUUUGCUCCAGUGGUCCCCAACCUUGAGGAUCCGCCCCUUCCUCUCCUCCCUCUUCCUCCUCCCCCCGCCCCUUCUUUCUAUGCUGGAAAAGAGGAGAAACCGAGGAGCUCCCAAAGGGGAGGGAAGAAGAGGAGCCUCUCCAAAGGGAGGGGGUCGAGGCGGAACCGGAGGUGGGAAGCUGGGAGUCCGGCCUCCUCCUCUUGCCCCCCUACCUCUAGGAUCCCCCCCAGGGAAAUGGCCGCUUGCUCGCGAGUUUCCCGCCAGAGGAGCUGCAAGGAGAUCUUGAUAGUCUCCAGCUCCCAUCAUCACCGGCCGACCCGCUCAGUGGUGGUGGAUGAUGAGACCUAUGAGGUAAAUGUGGAGGAGGGGGGCGAUGGGAUGUCUCUGGGAGGGGUCUCGAUCCCGCCCGAGUAAGACACCCGGGACCAUUGUCUGUGUGUAAUAUAAAACUAGUCUAUAAAGUUCUAAGUUCACAAUACAGUAAUAAAGAGUUAUGAAGGAUGAUUUUACA
RNAcentral lists this long non-coding RNA (1025 nucleotides) under Pogona vitticeps (central bearded dragon). RNAcentral describes it as "lncRNA (ENSPVIG00000004732.1)". The record is from RNAcentral. Lineage: Eukaryota; Metazoa; Chordata; Lepidosauria; Squamata; Agamidae.